RNAcentral lists this ribosomal RNA (297 nucleotides) under uncultured bacterium. Its description in RNAcentral is "partial 16S ribosomal RNA". It matches the Rfam family "Bacterial small subunit ribosomal RNA", at positions 337 to 651 of the family's 1533-position model. The record is from RNAcentral.
UCCUACGGGACGCAGCAGUGGGGAAUAUUGCACAAUGGGGGAAACCCUGAUGCAGCGACGCCGCGUGAGUGAUGAAGUAUUUCGGUAUGUAAAGCUCUAUCAGCAGGGAAGAUAAUGACGGUACCUGACUAAGAAGCUCCGGCUAACUACGUGCCAGCAGCCGCGGUAAUACGUAGGGGGCAAGCGUUAUCCGGAAUUAUUGGGUGUAAAGGGUGCGUAGACGGGAAAUUAAGUUAGUUGUGAAAUCCCCAGGCUCAACUUGGGAAUUGCAACUAAAACUGGUUUUCUUGAGUACUG